RNAcentral lists this ribosomal RNA (253 nucleotides) under uncultured bacterium. RNAcentral describes it as "partial 16S ribosomal RNA". It matches the Rfam family "Bacterial small subunit ribosomal RNA", at positions 524 to 776 of the family's 1533-position model. The record is from RNAcentral.
UACGGGGGGGGCAAGCGUUGUUCGGAAUUACUGGGCGUAAAGGGCUCGUAGGCGGCCAACUAAGUCGGACGUGAAAUCCCCAGGCUCAACCUGGGAACUGCGUCCGAUACUGGAUGGCUUGAAUUCGGGAGAGGGAUGCAGAAUUCCAGGUGUAGCGGUGAAAUACGUAGAUAUCUGGAGGAAUACCGGUGGCGAAGGCGGCAUCCUGGACCGACAUUGACGCUGAGGAGCGAAAGCUAGGGGAGCAAACGGG